Long non-coding RNA from Marmota monax (woodchuck), 2786 nucleotides. RefSeq lists it as uncharacterized. The record is from RefSeq and is a predicted model, not a curated record. Lineage: Eukaryota; Metazoa; Chordata; Mammalia; Rodentia; Sciuridae. The transcript has 4 exons.
GCCGUUCGUUAGCGUCUCUCUUGACGUCACGAGGAGACCGUUAGCCCCCUAAGGACCGGGGACGACCAGAGGAGGCAGAAGUGGGUCUACAUGGAAAACAACAAAAAUGUCUGAAAAAUCCUAAGGAUUACACAACACAUUGCUAACAAGAAAAAGUCAAAGAAGAAAUAAAAAGGCAUCAAUUUCUUUCCACUAAAGGGAGGGCAGGAAGAAGGUGCCAGAGCAACUCUGGGAGUCGAGAGCUACAGAGACGCCAGGCAUGGAAGGUGCACGAAGCCUCCUAUAACUUGAGCAUUUCUUACUUUUUGUGUGCACUUCAAUUUACAAAAUUCAGUGUCAAGAGAGCCCAGAGAUAAGAGCAAUUCUGCAUGGGUGCACUAUGCUUUUAUGUGGGGGCUGAGGAGACUCCUCGUGGAUGCAGAUGUGCUCCUGCCUGGAUUCUGUGCAAAGAAGCUUGAGCCAGUCAGCACACCUCACUCCUGCACCAUGAUGUCAUCAUCCACAGAGCUCAGGGUCUUCUGGCUGGCUGUCGGUUCUGUCAAUGUGGGCAUGGCAUUUCCAUUGGAGCCUCUCUGUUCCUGGACACUGGCCGAGGGAAGCAUGGUAUACAGCAGAGUUUUUGCAUGCAUUUGGUGAUGUUCCUCCUUAGUCUCUUCCAACCCUUGCUUCUGUAGUGGGAUUGCCCUGUGGAGGUACCUUAGGAAGAUGAGCUCUCCUGGGCUCAGGAUUAUGCAGGGAAGUUAGGCUGUGAGGGCGUGUGUCCCUGUUGAGGAAGCUGAGAGGAAUAACAGGCAUGCUGGCAAUUCCAGCAGCCUUCUGCAAGGACUGCUUGGCUGCCUCAUGCUGCAGCUACUCGUGGGGCAAGGGAAGAGCAGGCUUACUAGAAUACUUCCAGGGCAGAGCCAGGGAGGAUAUGCGGGGCCCAGGUGAUGCACAGGCUUCACCUGGAACCCAAAGCCUGCCCCUGGGUUCUCUGGUGCUCCAGUAUGAGGUACGUGGCCAUCAUGUUGUCCUUGAAUCUUCAACGUGGUACGGACACUCAGGUACUAUAGGGAUGGUAACCCAUGUCCACCAUGAUUUUCAAAAUUGUGGGAUCUGGGAGUUAGAAGAGUGCCUCACUCGAAGGACUGGGUGUGAAGCUUCCUCUCCCUGGCUCAGCCAUGGGUACUCCAUUAUCUGCUCUAAGUUGGGCCUCUGUGUGGGGUUCACCGUCAAGAUCUCAUUGAUGAGGCUCUGUGCUCCCUCAGAAACAUGUGGGGGAAUGUCAUACAUUCCCUACGUGAUCAGCUUCUUCAGCUGCUUAUUGCUGGUUGCCACAAAUGGGCAUCUCCCUGUGAGCAUAAAAUAGAGAAUGACUUCCAGGCUCCAGAUUUCUGGGGCGUGGGGGGAGGCAUUGAAUUCCUUCCAAUGGACAACUUUAGAGGCAACUUAGAGGAGAGUACCCCAGAACCUGUUCAGCUUCUUCCCAGCUGUGAAUCUUGUGCUCAGGCCAAAGUCGAUGAGUUUGACGUUGCUGCUGGCAUCCACCACCACGUUCUCUGGCUUCAAAUCAAGGUGCAUGAUACCCAUCUUGUGGCAGUACUGCACCACAUGCACGAUCCACCUGAACAGUCUGUGGGCUCCUCCUUCCGCAUGACAUCAGGUUCCUGGAUGAGGUCCCAUAGCUGUCCCCCCUCUGCAUGUUCCAUGAUAAGGUAGAUAUAUUCGAUGGUCUCAAUGACCUAGAAGAGCUGGAUCAUGUUCUGGUGGUCCAAGGCUGCCAUCAUCACCAGUUCAGAAAGAAAGGGGAAGUUCCAGACCUCUUUUGCCAAAACCUUCAACCACAACCUCUAUCACCUGGGCAAAGCCUCCCUCCUCAAUGUCCUGCAGGACCAUAUAAUGGUCCGUGAGGUGGGCUCAUAGCAGGAGCCUUGCCCCUAAGGCACUACACUGCUCUGACUACGCUCUCUAUGAAUCUUAAGCUGGAAUGAGGAUGCUAGCUAAAAUAAUAAUAAUAAUAAACCAAAACAAAAAAACAAAAAGCAAAAGCAAAAAAAAUAUAUAUAUAUUUUAAAAACCCAAAUCAAAAACCAAUAUCCAAAGACCACAACUACCAGCCACCAACCACCACCAAAUGGGCUAACUAUCUGGGAGUCUGACAGGUCACCACCAAGAGCUUCCUGUACUUAUAGACAAAAGACCCAGCUGCAGCUACCCUCUUAAAUAACUACUGUUUGAAAUUCCCUCACAAUGGCUCCUUCUGAGCUCAAAGCACGAAAUGACCCAGUCAACCCUGGGCAUGACUCUCAGUGGUCAUCUCACUUUGGGGCUUCUAAGAACUUUUCCACUUUCAUGACAAGAAGAAAAAACUCUGGAAGAUUUUUUGCUUUAGUACAUUAUGGUGACCCAUAUUUACUUGUUUAGAAAUUAAAAUUUGUAGGAUACUUCAGCAGUCUUCUCAUUUCAAGUCUGAAAAUCCGUAAUAUCUUUGUGGCUUUGAAAAACCUCAUCAUAGCUACACUCAAGGUUUCUGCUUCUUUGCUGCCCUGAACUGAACAGUUUUCCUCCCCUGGGCCCUUGCCCCAUGAUAGACUGACUGCCUCACCUUGGGCAGAGCAGUAGAGUCAGCUAUCUAUGAACUGAGACCUCUGGAACUGUUAGUCCUAGAGAAGCUUUUUCUCUUCCAAGUGGGAUCCGGGAGUUUGAAGAGUGCCUCACUUGUUCUUGUUGGGUGUUUUGCUCACAGAGACAAAAGAAAGCUAAUUAAAACACAGCGCCCACCUUGACAAAUGGACGUGUGUGGGGGG